RNAcentral lists this long non-coding RNA (358 nucleotides) under Mytilus galloprovincialis (Mediterranean mussel). The record is from RNAcentral. Lineage: Eukaryota; Metazoa; Mollusca; Bivalvia; Mytilida; Mytilidae.
UCAGUUUUUGUUAUUGGUGUAUCAAAAACAUUAAUGUACGAAUAUAAUUUCAUAAAUUUGAAACGUUUAAAAUGAUUACAUACCAAUAUAAAGAACCGUUCAUCAUUUUUGAAAGACUAUGAUUGAAAUUUGUAUUAUUUAUCUUCCCUUCAUGAUAGAUUGAUUGGGAAAUGAACCAGAGUUAUCUAAAGGUAAUCACAGAGAGAGAAUAGCAAGCAUUUUUUAAUUGUAGCUUAUUUAACGAUAAAACAACUUUCCACUAUAAACAAAUGUUACUUUAUCCAAAUAUAAGGACCUUGUUAGCUAAAUCUACAAAUUUUAUUAGAUAUUAUGAAUUUUUAUUACAAUAGAUUAAUAU